CAAUAGCGUAUAUUAAAGCUGUUGCGGUUAAAAAGCUCGUAGUUGGAUUUCUGUCAAGGACAACUGGUCCGCCCUCCGGGUGAGCACAUAGUUUGGUCUUGGCAUCUUGCUGGAAGCUGUUGCUGCACUUGGCUGUGUGGCGCAGCGUCCAGCACUUUCACUUUGAGGACAUUGGAGUGUUUCAAGCAGGCACAUGCCUUUGGACACAGUAGCAUGGAAUAAUUAGAUUGGGCUUUUGCUCCAAUUUGUCGGUUUCUGGAGCUGAGGUGAGAAUUAAUGGGGAUUGUUGGGGGCAUCCGAAUUUAGCCGUCAGAGGUGAAAUUCUUGGAUCUGCUAAAGACGGACAACUGCGAAAGCGUUUGCCCAGGAUGUUUUCAUUGA
This 381-nucleotide ribosomal RNA is filed under the name uncultured eukaryote. RNAcentral's name for it is "partial 18S ribosomal RNA". It matches the Rfam family "Eukaryotic small subunit ribosomal RNA", at positions 592 to 976 of the family's 1831-position model. The record is from RNAcentral.